This 253-nucleotide ribosomal RNA is filed under the name uncultured bacterium. RNAcentral describes it as "partial 16S ribosomal RNA". It matches the Rfam family "Bacterial small subunit ribosomal RNA", at positions 524 to 776 of the family's 1533-position model. The record is from RNAcentral.
UACGGAGGGUGCGAGCGUUGUUCGGAAUCACUGGGCUUAAAGGGCGCGUAGGCGGGUUCGUAAGUCUGUGGUGAAAGCCCCCAGCUUAACUGGGGAAGUGCCAUGGAUACUGCGAAUCUUGAGGAGGGUAGGGGCAUCUGGAACACUGGGUGGAGCGGUGAAAUGCGUUGAUAUCCAGUGGAACUCCGGUGGCGAAGGCGAGGUGCUGGACCCUUUCUGACGCUGAUGCGCGAAAGCCAGGGGAGCAAACGGG